This 504-nucleotide ribosomal RNA is filed under the name uncultured bacterium. RNAcentral describes it as "partial 16S ribosomal RNA". It matches the Rfam family "Bacterial small subunit ribosomal RNA", at positions 30 to 523 of the family's 1533-position model. The record is from RNAcentral.
AUUGAACGCUGGCGGCAUGCCUUACACAUGCAAGUCGAACGGUAGCAUGGAGAGCUUGCUCUCUGAUGGCGAGUGGCGAACGGGUGAGUAAAGCAUCGGAACGUACCGUGUAGUGGGGGAUAACGUGGCGAAAGUUACGCUAAUACCGCAUACGCACUGAGGUGGAAAGCAGGGGAUCGCAAGACCUUGCGCUAUACGAGCGGCCGAUGUCAGAUUAGCUAGUUGGUAGGGUAAAGGCCUACCAAGGCGACGAUCUGUAGCGGGUCUGGGAGGAUGAUCCGCCACACUGGGACUGAGACACGGCCCAGACUCCUACGGGAGGCAGCAGUGGGGAAUUUUGGACAAUGGGGGCAACCCUGAUCCAGCCAUGCCGCGUGAGUGAAGAAGGCCUUCGGGUUGUAAAGCUCUUUCGGCCGGGAAGAAAUCGCACAGGCUAAUACUCUGUGUGGAUGACGGUACCGGCAUAAGAAGCACCGGCUAACUACGUGCCAGCAGCCGCAGUAA